GCCAGCAGCCAUAUCACCCUGCAACUCACAACUGGCAACCCACUGAAGCUAAGCGGGUGUGAGCCUAGUCAGUACCUGGAUGGGAGACCUCCUGGGAAAAACUAAGGUUGCUGCUGGAA
Lepisosteus oculatus (spotted gar) is the source of this 119-nucleotide ribosomal RNA. Lineage: Eukaryota; Metazoa; Chordata; Actinopteri; Semionotiformes; Lepisosteidae. The record is from Ensembl.